Molecule: ribosomal RNA, 323 nt
Filed under: uncultured Pseudomonadota bacterium
Lineage: Bacteria; Pseudomonadati; Pseudomonadota
Description: bacterial SSU rRNA
Rfam family: Bacterial small subunit ribosomal RNA
Source: RNAcentral
AUUGAACGCUGGCGGCGUGCUUAACACAUGCAAGUCGUGCGGUAACAGGCGUAGCAAUACGUGCUGACGAGCGGCGAACGGGUGCGUAAUACAUGGGAAUCUGCCUUUUAGUGGGGAAUAACCCGGCGAAAGCCGGGCUAAUGCCGCAUAAGAUCUUCGGAUGAAAGCGGGGGAUCGUAAGACCUCGCGCUGAUAGAUGAGCCCAUGUCGGAUUAGCUAGUUGGUGAGGUAACGGCUCACCAAGGCGACGAUCCGUAGCUGGUCUGAGAGGAUGGCCAGCCACACUGGGACUGAGACACGGCCCAGACACCUACGGGUGGCUG